UCUCCGUUGGUGAACCAGCGGAGGGAUCAUUACUGGAAUCGCAAGAUCCCACAACCCCUGUGAACCUACCGAAACGUUGCCUCGGCGGGCGCCCGGCCCUGCCCCCGGCGCGUGGCCCGCCGGCGGCCCCCUACUCCCUUCUCUUCUGCCUGGCUUCUCAGAGUCCCAAAAAACAAGUAAAAACUUUCAACAACGGAUCUCUUGGCUCUA
RNAcentral lists this unclassified non-coding RNA (210 nucleotides) under plant metagenome. RNAcentral's name for it is "partial contains small subunit ribosomal RNA, internal transcribed spacer 1, and 5.8S ribosomal RNA". The record is from RNAcentral.